GAGCCCAGAUUUCGGCCUCUCUCUUCCACCGGCCAUAUCUCCCUCCACAGACCUCCGAUCGACUUGAUUCAAAAAGCAAUUUCAUUCACCUUGAAGUCAGUUAAAACUUCCUAGAAGACAUCAAAGUGAGAAAAGAACCGUCGAAUGCGCUAGGAGACCGAGAAGCUGCACAGCUCGAGCUGGAAUUCGCACGAGCUGCUCUUCAUUCACCGGCCGAUAUCUCUUUCAUCCGACCUCUAAUCGAGUUGAUUCCAAAAGUUAUUUUGCUGGGAUUGAGCUAGAUUAGAACUUUGUAGAAGAGAUCGAAGGGAAAUAACCAACGUGGUAGCCGCUACAAGUCGAAGAACACGGUGCAGUCGAGCUGGAAAUCACCUCCUUUCCCCACCGUCGUUCUCACUCCUCCGGCCACCUUUUGCCGUGAUUCUUGAGGGGAUUCUGCACUUCUGAGGAUGUAGAUCAUUUCCCCUAAGGUGGAUUGCAUCGAUUUCAUCUGUUGAGAUCGAAUUGGAACGAAUUCAAAACUAUGGUUCUUUGGAUCCGUCGGCUUCUAAGUACACUAUUCAAAUUGUGUAGCGGGUAAUCUCACAGGUCAGGAGAAUCAGGCAGUGAUCGUGCAGUUUAGAGUACUAGUAUUAGAUUUACAGCAAUUGUUUUGUGAGGAGAAUUAUACUCAUUUGAGUUUUACAAUUUGAUUUGGUGAGAGUGUGCUGUAAUAAGUAGCUCGAGGAUUUGGUUUAUGUAAUAUUAAGAGGUGUAAACUAGUGGUUGUUUCU
This 773-nucleotide long non-coding RNA is filed under the name Rosa chinensis. RNAcentral's name for it is "sRNA RchiOBHm_Chr5g0003121". Lineage: Eukaryota; Viridiplantae; Streptophyta; Magnoliopsida; Rosales; Rosaceae. The record is from RNAcentral.